CCUACGGGUGGCUGCAGUGGGGAAUAUUGGACAAUGGGCGAAAGCCUGAUCCAGCCAUGCCGCGUGUGUGAAGAAGGCCUUCGGGUUGUAAAGCACUUUCAGUGGGGAAGAAAGCCUUGGGGCUAAUACCCUCGAGGAAGGACAUCACCCACAGAAGAAGCACCGGCUAACUCCGUGCCAGCAGCCGCGGUAAUACGGAGGGUGCGAGCGUUAAUCGGAAUUACUGGGCGGAAAGCGCGCGUAGGCGGUCUGAUAAGCCGGUUGUGAAAGCCCCGGGCUCAACCUGGGAACGGCAUCCGGAACUGUCAGGCUAGAGUGCAGGAGAGGAAGGUAGAAUUCCCGGUGUAGCGGUGAAAUGCGUAGAGAUCGGGAGGAAUACCAGUGGCGAAGGCGGCCUUCUGGACUGACACUGACGCUGAGGUGCGAAAGCGUGGGUAGCAAACAGGAUUAGAUACCCUAGUAGUC
This 465-nucleotide ribosomal RNA is filed under the name Vreelandella stevensii. RNAcentral describes it as "partial 16S ribosomal RNA". It matches the Rfam family "Bacterial small subunit ribosomal RNA", at positions 338 to 795 of the family's 1533-position model. Lineage: Bacteria; Pseudomonadati; Pseudomonadota; Gammaproteobacteria; Oceanospirillales; Halomonadaceae. The record is from RNAcentral.